This 23-nucleotide non-coding RNA is filed under the name Arabidopsis thaliana (thale cress). The record is from RNAcentral. Lineage: Eukaryota; Viridiplantae; Streptophyta; Magnoliopsida; Brassicales; Brassicaceae.
UCAGAGUUUGGUGGAUGUGCAUA